UAAUAAAGAAAGGGCAGAGUGUCCCGGAAGAAAGAGACCUAGGCACUGGCUGAAGUCAAGUCCUGGAUGCAGGAGCCUUGGAAAGAGAGCCAGGGGUAAAGUCUGAAGUAGGUCAGAAGAGACACACAAAAGCUUCAUUGACUGGACAUGGGUGAACCAAACGCUGGCCACCGAGGGACUCUCUAGUUGCUCAGAACUUUGGAUGUUACAGGCUUGAUCAAUUUUUGAUCAUCUCUGUCCCCUUAUGAGGAAUCUGGGAUUCCAGAACAAACUAGGCUUCUUGGGAACAGAGACAGCAUUUCAUGUAUCCUAGGCUGGCUUUGAACUCCCUUUGCAGCCAAGGAUGAUCUUGAAUUUCUGAGCCUCCUGGCCCUACCUGAGUGCCAGGAUUGUUGUCAUGGACCACCACAUCCAGUUUAUACAGUACUGGGGAUGAAACUCAGGCCUUUGUGCCUUCUGGGAAAGUGCUCUACCAACAUCUCUAGCCCCUGUCGGAGAAUUCAGGGCAGCUUAGCUGCUGCAUAGACUUACAAAGAGAAGUGUCCUGUGGCCUUAAAGACCCACAGACUCUGCCAUCCCUCUGCAUGACUGAGCCCCUGCUGAGGCCAGGCUGCCUCUGCCUGCUUACACCAGGCAUCCUACCAGGGAGCCUCCCUGAUACUCAAGCCCAGCUUGUUUUGUUUGCUUUUAAGUUUAGAGCUUCUCAACAGGAUCUUAGAGCUUAGGAAGAUGUUGGAUGAUGGUGGGCGGUCACCAAGUUCAGGCUGUCUUAAUGGUUAACUAAUUUUGUUUGGAAAUGGACACAAACUCAGCCUCCCUCCUUCCCCUCUAUAUAAAACAUUUAAAAAGAGAAUUUGCCAUAUACCACAGGAUCCAGCAGUCUCAGCCCAGGCUCAUCUUCCACAGUAAUGAUUGUUUAGGGUGAGGAGAAUGUUCUAGAAAUAAUGGAACAGUUGCCUGACAUUGGAAUGUACUUAAUGCACUGAAUUGUACAAUUAAUAAUAACUAAAAUGACCAAGACAGUGUCUA
This is a long non-coding RNA of Mastomys coucha (southern multimammate mouse), 1029 nucleotides long. RefSeq lists it as uncharacterized. The transcript has 2 exons. The record is from RefSeq and is a predicted model, not a curated record. Lineage: Eukaryota; Metazoa; Chordata; Mammalia; Rodentia; Muridae.